AUGGGAUGGGAUGGGAUGGGAUGGGAUGGGAUGGGAUGGGAUGGGACAGGAUGGCAUGAGACAGGACAGGACAGGAUGAGAUGGGAUGAGAUGGUGUGAGAUGCGAUGGGAUGAGAUAGGAUAGGACGGAAUGGGACGGGAUGGGAUAGGAUGGGAUAGGAUAGGAUAGGAUAGGAUAGGAUAGGAUAGGAUAGGAUGGGAUGGGAUGGGAUGGGAUGGGAUGGGAUGGGAUGGGAUGGGAUGGGACGGGACAGGACAGGAUGAGAUGGGAUGAGAUGGUGUGAGAUGCGAUGGGAUGAGAUAGGGUAGGAUGGAAUGGGAUGGGAUGGGACAGGAUGGGAUGGGAUGGGAUGAGAUGAGAUGGGAUGGAAUGGGAUGGAAUGAGAUGGGAUGGGAUAGGAUAGGAUGGGAUGGACGGAAUGGGAUGGGAUGAGACAGGACAGGAUGGGAUAGGAUGGGAUGAGAUGGGAUGGGAUGGGAUGGAUGGGAUAGGACAGGAUGAGAUGGGAUGAGAUGGUGUGAGAUGCAAUGGGAUGAGAUAGGAUAGGACGGAAUGGGAUGGGACAGGAUAGGAUGGGACGGGAUGAGAUGAGAUGGGAUAGAAUGGGAUGGAAUGAGAUGGGAUGGGAUGGGAUGGGAUGGAACAGGAUAGAAUAGGACAGGAUGGGAUGAGACAAGACGAGAAGGGAUGGGACAGGAUGGGAUGAGACCGGAUGAAUGUAUGUCUUGCUGCACUUCUCCCUCUGGGCUGAAAUACCAAUUCCAGUGAAUUCAGUAUCAGAUAAUUUGGUGGCACUGAGAUGCCAGCUCUGAUUUCCCACUCUAAGCUUGAUGAUUCCUUAUCAGCACAUCUGUCAGUAUUUACUGGCCAGCAGGUUUCACAGGCAAAUUCAAAAGAAUAAAUCCAUUAUUGUGGCACCAUUCCUGUCUUGGCAACUUUCAGGAUCUGACUUAGGUGCCUAAAUUACACAACCAGCCUUCCAAGGAUACCUCAGCAGUCAAUGGAAAGGAGAAAGACAUUCAUGAGUACAAUUCAGAGUAAGAAAUCAGUACUGGGGCCUGUUUUCCUCCAUUAAUUGUAUAGGAAGAAAAAGUUAUUGUCCAAAUGUCCAUACUUCACAGAGUCACAGUCACAUAAUGGUUGAGGUAGGAAGUGUUUGAUCUCUGGACCUGCUCCAGCACCUGUGCCAGCAAAGACAGGA
RNAcentral lists this long non-coding RNA (1202 nucleotides) under Gallus gallus (chicken). RNAcentral describes it as "lncRNA (ENSGALG00010004276.1)". Lineage: Eukaryota; Metazoa; Chordata; Aves; Galliformes; Phasianidae. The record is from RNAcentral.